This 341-nucleotide ribosomal RNA is filed under the name uncultured eukaryote. RNAcentral's name for it is "bacterial SSU rRNA". It matches the Rfam family "Eukaryotic small subunit ribosomal RNA", at positions 592 to 926 of the family's 1831-position model. The record is from RNAcentral.
CAAUAGCGUAUAUUAAAGUUGUUGCGGUUAAAAAGCUCGUAGUUGGAUUUCGAUCGGGAACUGGUGGUCCAUCUUUUGGAUGUGCAUCUACAUAGGUCUUGGUCUCCUCUCGAAAAACGUUUCUGCGCUUGAUUGCGUGGUGCGGUGUUCGGGACUUUUACUUUGAGGAAAUUAGAGUGUUCACGGCAGGCAUACGCCUUGAAUAUAUUAGCAUGGAAUAAUAAUAUAGGAUCUUGGUUCUAUUUUGUUUGGUUUCUUAGAGCUAAGAUAAUGAUUAAUAAGGGACGAAUUAGGGGGUCGGAUUCGUUAUUGUACGAGUCAGAGGUGGAAAUUACUUGGUA